Tribolium castaneum (red flour beetle) is the source of this 94-nucleotide non-coding RNA. Lineage: Eukaryota; Metazoa; Arthropoda; Insecta; Coleoptera; Tenebrionidae. The record is from RefSeq and is marked provisional.
CUAAUUUAGCAGAACUCUGAGCUGAAUCUUGAGGUGCUUCCGUGGUUUGGGCUCGUAGCACCACAUGAUUCAGCUUACGUUUCCGCUAACUACC